GCCCCUAUAGCUCAAUGGAUAGGGCCUGCCUCCCACUCAGGCACGGUUGCCGGUUCGACCCCGGCUAGGGGCACCA
Molecule: transfer RNA, 76 nt
Filed under: Actinomycetota bacterium
Lineage: Bacteria; Bacillati; Actinomycetota
Also listed under: 2 other names
Description: Actinobacteria bacterium tRNA-Val
Rfam family: tRNA
About the family: Transfer RNA (tRNA) molecules are approximately 80 nucleotides in length. Their secondary structure includes four short double-helical elements and three loops (D, anti-codon, and T loops).
Source: RNAcentral